UUCGCCCUUAGAGUUUGAUCAUGGCUCAGGAUGAACGCUGGCGGCGUGCCUAAUACAUGCAAGUCGAGCGAACAGAUGAGAAGCUUGCUUCUCUGAUGUUAGCGGCGGACGGGUGAGUAACACGUGGGUAACCUACCUAUAAGACUGGGAUAACUCCGGGAAACCGGGGCUAAUACCGGAUAAUAUAUUGAACCGCAUGGUUCAAUGUUGAAAGACGGUUUCGGCUGUCACUUAUAGAUGGACCCGCGCCGUAUUAGCUAGUUGGUAAGGUAACGGCUUACCAAGGCAACGAUACGUAGCCGACCUGAGAGGGUGAUCGGCCACACUGGAACUGAGACACGGUCCAGACUCCUACGGGAGGCAGCAGUAGGGAAUCUUCCGCAAUGGGCGAAAGCCUGACGGAGCAACGCCGCGUGAGUGAUGAAGGUCUUAGGAUCGUAAAACUCUGUUGUUAGGGAAGAACAAAUCUGUUAGUAACUGAACAAGUCUUGACGGUACCUAACCAGAAAGCCACGGCUAACUACGUGCCAGCAGCCGCGGUAAUACGUAGGUGGCAAGCGUUAUCCGGAAUUAUUGGGCGUAAAGCGCGCGUAGGCGGUUUCUUAAGUCUGAUGUGAAAGCCCACGGCUCAACCGUGGAGGGUCAUUGGAAACUGGGGAACUUGAGUGCAGAAGAGGAGAGUGGAAUUCCAUGUGUAGCGGUGAAAUGCGCAGAGAUAUGGAGGAACACCAGUGGCGAAGGCGGCUCUCUGGUCUGUAACUGACGCUGAUGUGCGAAAGCGUGGGGAUCAAACAGGAUUAGAUACCCUGGUAGUCC
Molecule: ribosomal RNA, 816 nt
Filed under: uncultured bacterium
Lineage: Bacteria
Description: bacterial SSU rRNA
Rfam family: Bacterial small subunit ribosomal RNA
Source: RNAcentral